Molecule: ribosomal RNA, 484 nt
Filed under: uncultured bacterium
Lineage: Bacteria
Description: partial 16S ribosomal RNA
Rfam family: Bacterial small subunit ribosomal RNA
Source: RNAcentral
AUUGAACGCUGGCGGCAGGCCUAACACAUGCAAGUCGAGCGGAUGAAGGGAGCUUGCUCCUGGAUUCAGCGGCGGACGGGUGAGUAAUGCCUAGGAAUCUGCCUGGUAGUGGGGGAUAACGUCCGGAAACGGGCGCUAAUACCGCAUACGUCCUGAGGGAGAAAGUGGGGGAUCUUCGGACCUCACGCUAUCAGAUGAGCCUAGGUCGGAUUAGCUAGUUGGUGGGGUAAAGGCCUACCAAGGCGACGAUCCGUAACUGGUCUGAGAGGAUGAUCAGUCACACUGGAACUGAGACACGGUCCAGACUCCUACGGGAGGCAGCAGUGUGGAAUAUUGGACAAUGGGCGAAAGCCUGAUCCAGCCAUGCCGCGUGUGUGAAGAAGGUCUUCGGAUUGUAAAGCACUUUAAGUUGGGAGAAAGGGCAGUAAGUUAAUACCUUGCUGUUUUGACGUUACCAACAGAAUAAGCACCGGCUAACUUCGUG